Molecule: ribosomal RNA, 492 nt
Filed under: uncultured bacterium
Lineage: Bacteria
Description: partial 16S ribosomal RNA
Rfam family: Bacterial small subunit ribosomal RNA
Source: RNAcentral
AGUGAACGCUGGCGGUAGGCCUAACACAUGCAGGUCGAACGGCAGCACAGUAAGAGCUUGCUCUUACGGGUGGCGAGUGGCGGACGGGUGAGGAAUACAUCGGAAUCUACUUUUUCGUGGGGGAUAACGUAGGGAAACUUACGCUAAUACCGCAUACGACCUACGGGUGAAAGCAGGGGAUCUUCGGACCUUGCGCGAUUGAAUGAGCCGAUGUCGGAUUAGCUAGUUGGCGGGGUAAAGGCCCACCAAGGCGACGAUCCGUAGCUGGUCUGAGAGGAUGAUCAGCCACACUGGAACUGAGACACGGUCCAGACUCCUACGGGAGGCAGCAGUGGGGAAUAUUGGACAAUGGGCGCAAGCCUGAUCCAGCCAUACCGCGUGGGUGAAGAAGGCCUUCGGGUUGUAAAGCCCUUUUGUUGGGAAAGAAAAGCAGCAGGUUAAUACCCCGCUGUUCUGACGGUACCCAAAGAGUAAGCACCGGCUAACUUCGUG